UGUUGUUAUAACAUAGAAUUAUAAGUUAAAAACGUCCCAAUUACACCAAAAAAAGCUAACUUGAAAACUCAUGUCCAGCUAAAUCAGCAACUUAUGUGAACUUGACAAUGUGGGUAAGUUGAGCACAGCAGGAUUCAAAACUGCCUCACGUGACUGCUACCGAGGUGCAUCAUGGGGAAUUGGCGGUUAACGACAUGCUCACUUUACUUGGACGUUUUCUAAUCGUCUUCUUUGGAAUAUGCUUUCAAGGUCUGUGAUGCCAAACUUGAUGCUGGGGAUUUAUUUUUGUCAGUGGAGUCAAAUGGUUGAAGCAGAAUUUGCCUGUCUUACAUCUGUUGACCUGAAAGGGUUCCUUUUUGCUGUGCUUGACCAUUAUGGAGAGGUUCGUGGAGCUGUUCAAAAUCAAGAGCGGCAUAGGAGGGCUAACCAGGCUCAUAAGAUGCUUCGGUGAUGAUAGCCCUACACAAAGGAAGAGGACAGAGGACCUCAUUUUCUAAAGGAAGAUCCCUCACACACUUUCAAGACUGUGAAGCCGACAGGUAUUGAAGACACGUUUUCUAAGAGGAUGAAAGUUGGCAUUGCGAUGGUGAAAGAAGAAGACAUCAUCGAUGUGUUGGUUGUCCUUGAGGCGGCAGUAAUCCUGUCUAAUCUGAGGAAUGUCUCAAGUGCCAUUUCCAUGCUGAUGGGCCUUCUUUUGCCCUCAACAUAGACUAUCCAAAGGAACUUAAGGACAUCUUUGAAGUCAUUCAGAACAUCCUAAUGAACAUUGGUGGAAGGCAGUGCAUCUCACUAGUGCAUGGUCUAAGAAACAGACUCUUGCAGAAAGCCAUGCAGAACUGUAAUUGUAUGCUCACAGCAUACAAUUGCCUUAGUGUUAAGGACAGUUUUUAUUUUACUGUUUGUUUUUUUAUUCUUGCAAGUUCUCAUUCUCACUUUUGUAUGUCACUAAAUGACUACACUUUACAUUCCAGAUUAGACAAUUUGUUCAUGGUUUAAGAAGCUUAUGUGAACAACAAUAUAAUGGUGGACUUUGCAGAUGCUUAUCUCAUGCAAGUCAGUAGUUUUUCCUUUGUUUUGCAAUUGAGCAGACUCAAACUGAUGUUUCUGAAAUAUCCAUCUUAUCAAAUGUUUCAGAAGCAUGCACUCAUUUUCAGAGAUAUUGGUUCUGUGGAAUUUGUUGCAAUUGUAAACGAAGACACAUACAAGAGUUUGAUGUCUUAGUUGUUAUAAACUGAUCUUUACUGUCACUUAUCAAAAGUUUUGUACUAUUUUAAUAUUUCAAGUUUUAUGCUAACAGGUGUGACUGAGCACAAUGAAGUUUAAAAAUUUUGCAAAUGUAAAGAAUAACUUUUCUA
Oreochromis aureus is the source of this 1355-nucleotide long non-coding RNA. NCBI's taxonomy places the organism in Eukaryota, Metazoa, Chordata, Actinopteri, Cichliformes, Cichlidae. The record is from Ensembl.